Molecule: ribosomal RNA, 245 nt
Filed under: uncultured bacterium
Lineage: Bacteria
Description: partial 16S ribosomal RNA
Rfam family: Bacterial small subunit ribosomal RNA
Source: RNAcentral
UACGUAGGUGGCUAGCGUUACUCGGAAUUACUAGGUGUAAAGCGCAGGUAGGUGGUUUGGUAAGUUGAAAGUGAAAGCCCCGACUAAAUCGGGGACGUCUUUCAAUACUGCCAGGCUUGAGUGUGGUAGGGGGAACCAGAAUUCCCGGUGUAGCGGUGAAAUGCGUAGAUAUCGGGAGGAAUACCGAUGGCGAAAGCGGGUUCCUGGACCAUUACUGACACUGAGCUGCGAAAGCGUGGGGAGCA